This 26121-nucleotide long non-coding RNA is filed under the name Zostera marina. RNAcentral describes it as "long non-coding RNA (ZMAR_LNC003161)". Lineage: Eukaryota; Viridiplantae; Streptophyta; Magnoliopsida; Alismatales; Zosteraceae. The record is from RNAcentral.
UUCUGUUUCGAUCAAAAAAAUAAAAUUCUGGGCGUUGUGAUUUGAUUUUGAUUUUGAUUUUGAUUUGCUACUACUACCUUUGGCGCCGGCGGCAGUUGUUUGCUUUUCCGAUAGAUGCGUCUUUUUCUUGGCCGAGGAUUCCGAUUUCGUAAAGCCGAGAUCUUUUCUGUUGGAUUUUACUUGCCGAUAGAAAUCCUGGACGUUGUUGGUCGGCAUCUUUUUUCGGUGUCAAUUCCCAAAAUGGUGUCAUUUAACCAAAUUGGUCCAAGUCUUCUGACUCUUGUGACGUGUCUCACUUGCAUCGUCCUCUAAAUUUUCAUUAUAACUAAGAAUCACGACGUGGCUCAUGUAUUUUGGAACUCAAACUCGAUAGGAUUAAAAUUUAACUCGAAUUAAAAUGAAAAUGAACGAUUAAAAUUAAUUUACAAGAUUAUAUUCUUAUGAAGUAUUUUUUUUACUAUACAAUUCAAUUAAUUCAGGUGGUAACUAUUAUAACUGAAUUCAGAAUUCAAAUUUUAUUUUAUAUAUUUUAAUUUUAAUUUACAUAUAACAAGUAGCUUAUCAAAAAAAUUAUUUAUUAUUAUUGAUAAUGUACCGACAAAUUUCAAAACAAAUACUGGAAAACAUUUAUUAUAAAAGGGUGGGCUUAAGUCAUAAUUUAUUUCAAUCAACUAUAUAUUUUGUCAAUUGCCAUUUUCUAGUAUUGAUCACAUGAAAUCCAUCAAUUCCGACGAGGACCAUCGAUUUCUCACUCUAAUAUAUAUAACCAUCUUUCUUCUUUUCUGGAUCGAGACUGGAGUGCUGGGUUGUGCAGCUAGCUAGCUAGAGACAUGGUCGGCAGUGCAUACUGGUCCUCGGACUUGGUCGUUAGAAAUGGAUUGAGAUAUUGUUGGUACUUGUUCAAGCAAGUUAACUAUAUGGAGAGAUUGAUGGAAAUAUGGAUAAUGGCGAGAGUCGGAUUCAUCGCUCCAGUUUUGAAUGUCGUAAUUCCGAUAUUCUUGACGCUAUCUGUGUUGAUACUUGUGGAAAAGAUCUUCUUUGGACUUACAACCCUCUACGUCAAGGUGUUCAAGCAAAAGCCAAAGACCAGAUACAGAUGGGAAGCUAUAAAACCAGAUCUCGAGUCCGGAAACAUAGCUUUUCCGAUGGUUCUCGUUCAAAUUCCGAUGUACAAUGAGAAAGAGGUCGAUUUAAAUCUUAUCUCCAGACUUCAAUUCUUCAAUAUGCAUAUCACACGUACUAGUUGCAUGCAGGUGUACAGAAAAUCCAUAAGAGCAACAACUGCAUUGGAUUGGCCGUCCGACAGGCUCAUUAUUCAAGUUUUAGACGAUUCAACUGACUGUUUUACCAAGGUAAUUUUAUUCCGACCGACGAGGCAAAUUAACUUUAUAUGUCCAAUAUUUUAAGUAAAUAUAUACAUGCAGAAAUUGGUAAAAUCGGAGUGUGAAAUAUGGGAGAAGAAAGGAUUGAACAUAAGGUAUCAGGUGAGGAAUGGAAGACAAGGAUACAAGGCAGGUGCUCUAAAAGAAGGAAUGAAGCAAUCAGACGUUCAAGAUUGUGAAUACGUCGCCAUGUUUGAUGCUGAUUUCGAACCUGAAUCUGAUUUUCUUAUCAGAUCUGUUCCUUAUCUUAUCCAUAACCCAGAGUUGGCUCUCGUUCAAGGCAGAUGGAAAUUUUGUAAGAUUCAUGUAACAUUUAAGUAUUUUCACUACCUAGUUCAUCCGUUCAUAAAGUUGAAAUUUCGUAAAAUAUUACAUAAAUUUAUUGCAGCAAAUGCAGAUGCGUGCUUAAUGACCAGAAUCCAAGAAAUGUCAUUAGAUUAUCACUUUAAGAUUGAACAAGAAGCUGGUUCUAAAAGAAGUAAUUAAACCUGUGUUUAACUCUGUUAAAUACAACUUGGACUAAUCUGUAAUUAAAUAAAAGUAAAAGAUUGAUAUGAAAUAACAUAAAUACAAAGGUUGGACUCAUAAGCAAUUAGAUAUAAAUAAGAGUUCACUCUGUAAUUAUGUAAUUGGAUCAAUAUAUAAUUAACUGUGAAUGAGAUAUCAAUCUAUAAAUAACACAGUUAAUAUUUCUAUUCAGAUUGGAUCCGUGUGUAAUUAUUUGUGACUUUAAGGUGCAGGUUCGUCUGAAUAUAAGAAUGCAGGGGCGAAGCUGCAAAGUUUUAAAUAAGCACGUGAAAGAUGGAAUUAGUUGAGAUUGCAGGGACAAGGCUGUAAAGAUUCCAAUGAACACGUGAAAGAUUAGUCUAAGUAAAUUCAGUUAGUCAGGAUUAGUUUUUCAGUUAAUCAUGAUUAGUUGUAAUAAUAAAAAUUAGACUUUUAUACUUUUUAAAUACACUGAAAAACGACUCAUUAGUUUAAUACAAAUGAUAUAAUCCUUGAUUAAGGAUAAUUAACUUUCUACAGUAAUAACUGUCGACCGUUAGUUUUCAAAUCCCUAAAUCACUUGAUUGCUCGCCGCCCGGCAGUCGUCGAUCAGCCGCCGACGUCGAGCCUCCGCACGGAACUUCAUCAAAACCUCACCGGAAGACGCGCCUUCACUUUAACAGGUUCAACUCUAUUUUCAUUUUUUGGUUUCAAUGGUAAUAAUUAAGUAUUUAAGAUUUGUACUUUUAAUGGUCAUAAUAACUAAUUAUUAAGGUUUUUGAAGAUGUAAACAUGAAAUAUUAUGUGUGUCCAACUAGUUACAAUAAUUAUUAAAAGGUUUUCAAUGGUCUAAGGUUAUAAUUUUUUAUAUAUGUAAUUUUUAUUUAAUUUUCACUACCAUUUAAUAUUUGAUUUUAUUAUAGCAAUCGAUGGUAGAUCUUUUUAGCUACUUGUAAAAAUAUGGUUAUGGUUAAGAGUUAGAUUCAGCGACUAAGCCGUGGUACCAACAUUUGGAUCAAAUUAACUGGUGGAAUUAAAGGUGGGUUGUUGUGGUUGGUUAAUUAGGUACUGCAGGGAUUUGGCGAGUUAAAGCUAUAGUGGAAGCUGGUGGAUGGAAUGAUAGAACGACCGUUGAAGACAUGGAUCUUGCCGUUCGAGCAUGUCUCCAGGGUUUCAAAUUUAUUUACGAUGGUGACAUCAAAGUACGUAAUUAUUUCAAUAAUUUUCUAUUUAUAUAUAUUUUUUCCAUGAGAAUAAUAUUAAGUCGAAUUUGAAUGAGUUGAAGACGAUCUGUGAACUACCAAGUUCAUUUAAGUCGUACAAAUACCAGCAGCACAUGGUGUUGUGGCCCUGCAAAUCUGAUGAAGAAGAUAGGAAUUGAUGUGCUAUUGAAUAAGGUACGAAAGAAAUAUCUCAUAAAAUAUUAGUAGAUGUGUUAUUAUAUCUCGAGAGAUUAGACAAGUAUUAUAUUUAAUUACAUUGCGGGCAGAAAAUCAGCAUAUGGUUGAAAACAUACAUCAUAUAUAGCUUCUUCUUCAUUGGGAAAAUCGUCUCUCAGAUCAACACAUUCAUCUUGUACUGUUUCCUCAUUCCGAUCUCGGUUAUGAUCCCGGAGGUGCCCAUCAUUCCGAUGUGGGGGGUUGUUUAUGUUCCUAUGGGGAUCGCAUUGUUAAAAGGCUUUGGUGCUCCUAGUUCCGCUCAUUUGAUUGUGUUAUGGGUUCUCUUUGAAAAUGUCUUAUCGUUCCACCGUUUCAAGGCGGCCUUUUCUGGGUUUAUAGAGAUAGGAGGAAGAGUGAACGAAUGGGUUGUCACGGAAAAAUGUGGAGAUAAACAGAAUAGUAACGUCACUGCCAUUAACGAAGAUCAUGAGGAUAUAGGACAUGUAAUCAAAAGGGAAACACCAAGAACUUGGCACAGGUAUCAACAAUUGUCUUUGUUUAUUGGUUGAUUUAAUUUAGUUAUUAAUGGAAUCAAAUUUGCUGUAGAUUUCACAUCGGAGAACUCAUGGUAGGCGUGUUCAUAGCAACUGCGGGAGUUUAUGAUGUGUUGAUGAAUGAUGAUAAGUUUUAUUUCUACCUCUUCCUCCAAUCAUUGGCUUUUUUCGUCGCAGGGUUUGGUUUGGUCGGUUUAUAGAUUGAAAAAAAACUGUUUUAUGUAAGUGUGUAAUAAUACCCUUAAUUAAUUCUAUCGUUAGGGUUUCACUAAAUUUGGGGAGAUCACGGAUUUUUUUAUAGAUAUAGGCAUGUAAAUAAUAUACCGAAAUCUGUAUUCGUAUCCGUUUUCGAAUAGAAUUUCGGAUUUUAGAUACCAAAAAUGAUAUCCAAAAAUUAUCCGAAAGGAUUAAGAUAUCUAUCAUUAAAAUCCGAAUUCGGUUAUUAAUUUCGGAUACGGAUAUCCAAAUAUCUAUAUAAAUAUAAAUUGACUUUCGGAUAAUUUAGAUUUAGGCUGUAAAUGGGCCGAGUCUGGGACGGCUGGGCUGGACCCGGACCCAUGAAGUUGGCCCAAGUCUGGGCCUGGUCCAAGUCCGGAAGGAAAUUGUCUGGACCGAACCCGGCCCAGACCCAUUAAAAAAACCGGGUCUGGUCCGGGUCCAAAAAAAAUGUACUUUUUUUAAAAUCUAAAUAAACAAUAAAUAUACUAUAAAAUAUAAUAAUAUAUUAUAAAAUAAUUAAAUAUACUAUAAAAUAUUAAUGGUGUAUUUAUAUUUUACCUUUACGUUAUUAAUAUUGGAUGCAUUUCUGGGACUGGGACGGUACCUAUCCCGUGAGGCACGCCCAACGGACAUCCAAUCUCACCGUCGAAAACCUACUUUAAGCUCCACCGUCCGUCGUCGUUGUCAGGACUUGCGUGUCUGAUUUGACCCGACGAAGUACGGUCGUUGGUACCUGCCUGCGUCUACCAUACCUCCGCGACUGUAGCAAUUUAAUUUUUCGUAUGCUGUUUUAAAUGGGUUGGCUCGAUUAUCCCAGUAUAUUUACUUCGUCACCGUUUCGCCCUAGAAUCGUCCUCGUCUCAAACAUGUUGUCGAGAGACAAGGUCUGCCGGCUCCCGCCUCGCCGUUUCGUACUGUCGUCCUUCAGUUUUCUAUGCCGUCGUUGGAGAAUCGAGGUCUGUAGCUACCAUCUCGUUGUUUCCUCCCAGGAAUCGCCCCCCGAUUCUAGUUCGUCGUUGAAAAUCAAUCGCCCUAUUUCUGCGUGCCUAAACCUCGACCAAAAAUCCGACGUAGUACUGGUACCCCCCUCGGAUCCAUAUUUUUUCUACUGAUCACGUUUACAUUUUACAUUGUAGUCAAUAAAAUCGUGUAACUACAAAUAGGUAGUCAGCUAAUCAGGUUGAAUCGUAAUCCACAUAUUUUUUAAAAUUUCAGAAAUGGUAACACAUGUUCCGCAUAUGUUUUUUUAAAAUUAUUAUCCAUUUGUUCACAGUAACUUUCGUAUUUACAUUCAUACAUCUCUUCCAUCAACGAUUUGUUCGACUAUAGUUCGUGCAAAAGGAUAUGGUCAUUAUCACCUCCAUGAUUAGUUUAUCUUAAUUAAUAGUCUUGUAUUUUUCUUCAUUUUCAUUUUUCAAGGUCGUUUGUCAUCUGCAGAUUAGUUUAUCUGAUUCCGAUGAUGGUGUGGAGACAACCUCUGUGUUGUUAGGAAAUACUGGUAUGUUUUGUAAAUUGACAUUCGAAUGAUGAAUUCUCAUGUUUUAUUUUUACGUAAUGCUCUUUAUUUUGGGAUCAUUAUUAUAUGAAAAUUAGUGUUGUCACCAUUAAAUCUUGAUGGAAGCUCGGAUCCAACUACAGUAUUGCAUGAUUUGCCCCCACAUCGUAAUACUUCUUCAUUCAAUCAGCCAGACGCCCUCAUAUGUUCAGGUACACGAACUGCUUUAGACAAACGAAACCGCGAAGGGGAUACAUUUUGUAAUGGUAUGCUAUCCAUGUCCUAAAAAAUUGUACGAAUUAAUUAUUUAUCCGUAUGCGAUUUACUCUUCAUUCAUGUGUUUUAGGUGACCCUUGAUUCAAAUCUUCCUCCGCAACUGGAAUUCCCUGAAUCAUAUGUUCGUAGUGCCAAAAAUAGUACGAUGUUUAACAUGUUAUACCCUUUUUUAGUACUUCAUUUUGAUGGACACAACCUGUUUAAAUAACUGAAAUUGGAAGGUUUUUUCAGGUCGCUUCUUAGUUCAAAACAGGUGUUGUUGUGUUGUUACUGAGGGUAUUUCAACACCUACUUAUUGGUUGUCGUUAAAUUACCAAGUGAGUUCUACAAUCUUGUUGGUAGAAUUGGUUUUAGUCAUUUCCUUCGCAAUUGUAAUUUUGCUGUUAAUUCCUAUCAUUUGGAUGACCUUGUCGGUCGUUAUAUUGGGAGUUAUGAGUUUGUGCUUAAAAACAAAGUGGCGAAAAUGAUGGUAGAGGAUGUCGGUCAAAUACUUGGAAUUCCUAGUGUUGGGUUGCCUAUCAACGUCACACGGGACGAUGAGUCUUCUCAUGAAACUAAUUUUUGGCAGAAAUAUUUUGGGGUCACUCAGGUAACAAGGUGCGUACAGUAAUUUAAUGUAAUUGACUAUAUAUGGAUGUAUUAAAUCAUUAUUUUAUUAAGCCACUAAUAUCUGACACAUUUUUUAUUCAGUACCCUUGUUAAGGUUGUUUUCGUUCGACAUGUAUCAUCAGGGCUGCAUGAUGAUGAUUACGUUGUCGACUGUCUUAAAUUAUGGUUGUCUACUAUUUUCUUCUUUUCUUUUCCCGACCUCGAAGAUGACCUUAAAAUUAUUUCAUUAUCUGAAAAGAAUAGACGAAUUAGGUCGGUUAAAUUGGGCAAAACUAGUAAUGAACCAGCUAUUUAAGAAUAUGGAUUUGACGUCACAUUCUGUUCGUCGUAGAGAGAGAAUUGAAGAUCGAGCUGGAGAGUAUGUUCAUGGCUGUGCUACUGUGUUGAAUGUAAUCUCUUUGACCACUAUUAAUAUCCAUUAUUGUACACUUGUGUUUGCUAUUUAACCUACAAAUUACACAUGACGUAGGUAUUCCUGUGGGAACGAACGAACUUAUUUCCGCCGUCAUCAAUCUGCAAUUCGGUUAUUUUUCAGCGCUAUGAGGGAUCCACGAAAAGACGGAAACGCACUAUUAAUUGUCUUUUAGACGAGGAGGUACUCUCAUAUUUUCCUUAGUCCUCCAAUAAUUAUUAUUGAGGACUGCGAAUUCAAUAAUUUCUAUUGCAGAUGUACUCUGUUCCUCGUUCGUAUAGUUCUACACGUGCUCCGUUAGAGGUUUUUUAUAGUAGACCUUGUCAAAUAAUUCAUAAUAUGUAAUGAUGUUUUUUGGACAACUGCAAUUGUUGAUGUCAUGAGAUCUUCUGAAACAAUUAUUUCGUCCUGAAUAAAAUUUAUUGAAUCGAAAAAUAAUGGAUAGUUCUUGCACUAUCAUUUAUUUGUAAUAUUUGUUACAGGUUGGAGGAAAAGGUUGAUUCAGCCUACAUUGGUAGAAUUUCUUCGUCAACGAAGAUUUCCAAAUAAAAAUACAGAUCGAACUAAGGUAUUACAUGAUUAAUAUAUCUCCAUUCACUAUUUGACAAUUUUUCACAUAAUUGAUUUCCCUGUAGUAUGAUAAUUUGGUUUCGAGCAAUCCUUUGAUGCCUAAAGGUCGGUAAACUAACAUUUCUUCCUUAUUCAUUAUUAAUUAAAAUUAGGAAAUUUUAAUAUAAUUAUUUUUUUUUUAAUCUCCUAUAGGUAGUUACCACAAUAGCAAACAUAAGAAUAAUUGUGCCGAUCUUAAAACUGUCUCUGGAAUGAAAAUAGACAGUCUUUUCGUGGUUGAUCUGUGCACACCCUCUCCUAUACCAAUUGGCGAUAACUUGUCAAUUGGAAACAUAUCACCUAUCCCAGUAUCAUUUGAAGACCGGAACGACGUAUCUGUCAUUGAUACGGAUAUGUCAUAUACCACAUUAAAUAGUCCAGUAGUAAUAGAUGGUUUGGAUAUAUAUGACGACAUAUUCCGAGAUAGGCAACACCCUGAUGCUUAUCCACAAGAACUUACGUUAGAUAGUUCUUGUGAUCUAGCUAGCUAGGAUUCCAAAAAGUGUAGCCUCAGACACUAAAGAUCGAUGUCACCUCGGAACCUCCCACUACAAAAAACCAGCGCAGUUCUGGCGCCCAUCUCCCGGCGGCCAGGCCGACGGAAGGUUACACUUGUCCGCCUGCAUAAUUUUCCCUCGUAAAUGAGAGAAAUUAGCUGGCGGCCAGGCCGACGGAAUAUUUUUUUGUAAAAAAUGCCAGCGGCCUGGCCGCAAGCUCCAAUUUCACCAACGGUCGGGAAGAAGUUAUUCGGCGGCCUGGCUGCCAGCUCCAAUUUCCCCAACGGUCGGGAAGAAGUGAUCCGGUGGCCUGGCCGUCGGCAUACUAAAAUCCUCAACGGUCGGGAGAAAAAUUGCUGACGGCUUGGUCGCUGGAUACUUUUUCCCGCUUGUUUUUUUCAGUAGCCAGCGGCCUGGCCGCCAGGAUUUUUGGGAAACCCUAAAAUUACAACUUGCGCCGCCGUGGUGCCUCGUACAGUCAAACUAAGUCAAAACGAAACUUAAGUAUUUCCCGACGGCCUGGCCGCCGGGAAAUUUUUAUAUAAGAAAAAAAAUUCCAGAUUUCUUUCAUUUUCUUUUCCCCCAAAAACGUCUCCCACUCCUCCCUAAACCUCCCCCAACUUCUCUCCGGUGAUCUUCCAGCCAUUUCUCUCCGGUGAUCUUCGAAGUUCUUCCUAAAGGUAUGUUCUUCAUCCUCCAUUAGUUAUCUUCUUUUGUUAUUGUGUUAUCUUCUUCAUCUUUUUCUCUCCUUUUUUUUCUUGUUUAUGAUUUGGGGUUUAUGAUUUGGGGUUUAUGAUUUGGGGUUAUAAAUUUGAUUAUUCCUAAAAUUUCUGAAAUGAGAAGAUAUUUCAAGUGUUACCUUUAAAAUUCCUUGUUCUACCACUAGUCUUCCUGCAGCAGACGUUGCUCCUCCUGCUAGAAAACUUGAGUGCUGGAAUGUUCCUUUCUUCUUCUUUUGUAUCCAACAAAAGAAGAAGUAUUACUAUAAUUUUAGUUAUAAAUGAUAAUGUAUUCGAUAUUAGAUAAUUAUUGAAAAAAACAUACUUGUCCAACAUAGAGUUUUUUUGUAGGGCUCAUAACAAAUAUCCAUUUGGAAUCCUUGGGGCUUUGAGAAGUGUCAAGGAGCUCACCCAUUUGCUUGUGAACAAACUUUCCAUUUUUUACGACGACUUGGUAAUUCUCCCUUUCUUUCUGCAGAACAACAAUUGAGCAGGUUGUUGUUUUGAAAUCUCUGUAUUUAGAGCAUGUAAUAAAAAUGAUGUGCAUGUGUAUGUGAACAUACGGGUCCAAGAUACUUGAUGCAUUGCUGCUGAAGCCUUAACCGAGGACAUCGGUCAUGGUUUAUUUCCUUUCCAUUCCCCACAUCAAGCCUGUAAAUAUACAUACAUACAUACAUUAAGAAUUUUAUUUAUUUCAAUUGUCUGUCGUGGCGUGUUUGUCAUGUUUUUUUGUAUAUUUUUCAAAUUAGGAGGUGAGAUUACCAGUAGAAGGUGAGAUUAGGAGGUGAUCUUGAAAUUAGUAGGUAUUUUAAGAUGAGUUUACCAGUAGAAGAAGGGCUGCUUGCUUUCACUUUGUAGCCAUGAUACAUAAUAGAAAUGUAAAUUAUGUCCAUACCGAUGUCUUGGAUCAAUCUGCAGAUUUUAAUUUAUUGAUUUUCAUGAUUAAAGUUAUUGAUUUUUUUUUAUUUUAAUCUUUUAAUGUUUUAUUUGUGUGUUUGAUGGAAUAGGUAGUUGAUAUUUGAUGGAAUAGGUAGUUGCUGGAAUUUUAUUAUAGGUAUAUAGUUUCUUGAAUUUUUGUUUUAAUUUAAUGAAAUAGGUAUGUUAUGUUUUUAAUUUUUAAUCAAAUAGGUGUGUUAUGUUUUAAAUUAUUUUUGAAUUUUUUAUUUAAAUAUUCUGUUUUAAUUAAUUAUUUAAAUUUUCUCUUUUAAUUUAUGUCAUUUUUUAGGUUGAAUUUGAUUGAUCUCCGUUCUCCGCUGUGCCGAACUCUUUUUAAUUGUUGUUGGAUCAUCUCACGCCAGUUGUUUGUUUUGAUUAAGGUAUGUAAUUUACAAAUUAAUUAAGGUAUUUUGAUAUUGACUAUGUGUUGUGAUAUAUAGUUUAUGAUAUUUUAUGUGUUUUGUUGUGUUUAUUGAUCGAUAUAUAUGUUAUGUGUUGAUAUUUUUUUGUAGGUAUUUACGGAUAGUUGUAAUUAGCAUUUCCGGUUGAAAUUCAAUUUGCGUUUUAAUCUUCAUUGAUCGAUCAAUGUAAUAUUUUUUAUUCAUUUAUUAAUUAGUUAAUAUAAUUUGCAUGUUAAUUAAAUAAUUGGAAAAUGAAAUGCAUGUUCUUAAAUUGUGUGAAUUUAAAAUGAAUACAAAUUAUUUGAAAUGAAUGUUAUGAAAUAAUGAAAUGUCAUGAUCAAUGUAAUAUUUUUUAUUAAUUUAUUAAUUAGUUAAUAUAAUUUGCAUGUUAAUUAAAUAAUUGGAAAAUGAAAUGCAUGUUCUUAAAUUGUGUGAAUUUAAAAUGAAUACAAUUUUUUUGAAAUGAAUGCUAUAAAAUAAUGAAAUGCCAUGAAAUGAAUUGAAAUACAUGAGUUAAAAUGAAUGCAUGUGUUAAAAUGAAUGCAUGAUUUUAAAUUAAAUAGAAAAUUAAAUAAAUUUAAAAAUUAGUUAAAUAAAUGUUUGGUAAUUAUUUUAUAUAAAAUUAGGUAAAUAAUUAUUUAAUUGAAAAAUAAUUAAAUAAUUUAUUAAUUAAUUAGGGUUAGGGUAAGUUAAUUUAUUAAUAAUUGUUGAACAACAAUUAUUUCAAAAUUAAAAUCAUUUUUUUAAUUAAUAAUUAAAUAAAUUAUUAUUUGAUUAUAUUUAAAUAAUUAAUUAAUUAAUUAAUAAUUAAAAAAAGUAACAAUCAGAUUUUUUAUAAGUGUGAUUGUUAGUUAAUUUUUAAAUAAUUGUUAAAUAAUUAAUAAUUAAUUAAUUAAGAAAAUAUUGGAAAUUUCAUUAAUCAGUUUUUAUAUUGAGAACUUGAUUUAAAAUCCAAUGUUGAAAAUAAUUAUUUAAAAAUUAAAAUCAUUUAUUUAAUAAUUAAUAAUUAAUAAUUGAAAUUACACUUUUAUUAAUUAAUAAUUAAUUAAAUAAUUAAAUAAAUAAUUAAAUAAAUAAUUAUUUAUUUAAUUAUUAAUUAAAAAAAGUAACAAUCAGAUUUUAUAAGUGUGACUGUUAGUUAAUUUUUAAGUAAUUGUUGAAUAAUUAAUUAGUAAGUAAUUAUUAAUUAUUUAAUUAAUUAAUUAAGAAAAUAUUGGAAAUUCCAUUAAUCAGUUUUUAUAUUAAAAACUUGAUUUAAAAUCUAAUGUUGAAAACAAUUAUCUAAAAAUUAAAAUUAUUUAUUUAAAUAAUUAAUAAUUAAUUAAAUAUUUAAUUAAUUAAUUAAUUAAUUAAUAAUUUUUUAAAAAAAAGUAACAAUCAGAUUUUGAAGAUAAGGAAAAGCUGAAAUGGACAAAGGAAAAGAUGCAAUGACCGAAGCAGAGGUUGAAGAUAAGGUCAACAAGGCUGUUUGAGAGGGCGAUGGCUCGUCAGAAUGAGACGAUGGCUCGUCAACUGGCGUUUUUUGAACAAUACAACAACGCAAUGCUCGCUCAAAAUCCGAACUUGCGUUUACCGGAGUUUCUGCCAAUCUUCAACAACGAUGCAGCGCAUAACAUUUAUACUUUUGGAGCGUCAUCUUCUAGAGCCGCACCCUACUCAACUACCAACGCAAGAAACUACGACGCCUCUACAAACUACGCCACAAGAGGAGCACACCACUCCACAACCGCGCGGAGGAAGAUCGAUUAUAUUCACGAAAGAGGCAUUACGAAAGGUGGUCGCAACUAAAAAAAAGAAAAAAAGCGAAAAAAAGAAAUUAAAUUAGUGAUUAUCGAAGUUAAUUUUUGUUGUAAAAUCAAUAUUAAACUUCAAAUUUAAUUUAUUAAUUUCAUAUAUUAAAUAAUUUAUUAAUUUCAUUUUUUUUUUAUUUUUCAAAAGUGAUCCAGCGGCUUUGUCGUCAGAAAUUUUUUCCCGGGAAUUUUUUUUUCUUGCCGGGAAAUAUUGACCAGCGGCCAGGCCGUCGGAAAAUUAUUUUCCAAAAAUAACUGCCAGCGGCCAGGCCGCCGGAAAAUUAUUUUCCAAAAAUAACAGUCGGCGGCCUGGCCGGCGGGAUAUAAUUUUCAAAAAAAAAUGUCGGCGACUAAGCCGCCGGAACAAUUUCUGUUAAAAUCGGAAUCCAUAAUUUUUUUCCGACGGCCAAGCCGUCGGGACAAUUUCUGUUAAAAUUGAAAUCCACAAUUUUUUUCCGGCGACAUUACUUCCGGCGAUGGGAUAUCGUCGGAUUGGCCGCCAGAACUGCGCUGGUUUUUUGUAGUGUCCGUCAUAUGUUAAUAAUUGCAAAUUAAACACAAACUCUAAAUUGCCUGGUCCGAUCAUAUCUUCAUGUUCAAUGACUAUUUCUCCCCCGAGUUUUGAUCUAUUGUUCGAGGCCGUUGAUAGGGUUUUGGAUGGAGAAAUUGAUGUACCUACAUGUACAUCUCCUCCUCGUUUGAAUACCCAGGAUAGUGUUAGCAAUUUAACACCAUAUAGUUAUUCGAAGACGAAUUUGAUAGUAUGUGUUGAGGAAGGGAAGUCGAUGUAUGAACAAUUAAUUGAUGAUACUCGAUAUUAUCAUAAAUCGGUAAUGAAUGCUGAUGGCCUGCAUAAGUACCAAUUGCAUCUUUUGGAUGAAUACGGAGGUCCAGUAAAUAGUUUUUCAUCCGUCGAUAACUAUCGUACUCUAAAGGCUGUUAAAGACAAUAGUGAACCUCAAAAAUUGGGUUUUCGAAACUGGUCAUCUCGUCACCGGAAUUCUGGGCUUCCGUAAUAGAAUCUACCGAAGCUAUUGAAAACAGAAUGAAGACCAAAAAAACAUUUGCUACAGACGAACUAGCAUCAGUGGCCCGAUGUAUUGAUUUUACCUCGACACAGUCUUCUAGUCUAGACUUACAAUAUGUUUCGUCAUUGGUUAAAAGAGUGAAGGACAGGAAUGCAGAUAAGGUACACUACGAUUAAUUAAAUUAGUAUUUUUAAGUUUCAAAGAAUUAAUGGCUAACAUGACUCAAAAUUUUCUAUUGCCUGAAACUAGUAGAAGAUGCUAGUAUGUCGAAGGACGACCGAAAUCCUAAGAAGAAUCAAACAUCUAAAGGAUUGGUUCUGGAUUCGAAAUAAGUUUUGAAAGAUUUUUUUUCGUUUUCUUUAAUAACCAAUUUAUGUCGUUAAUCUAUUUCAAAAUCAUGCAAUUUCGAAGUGACAUACUUGCCUCCAAUAGGUACCGAUCGUUAUUCUUUUAUUUGAUAACGGACAAAUCUGUAUUUUGUUAUGGUGGUGAUCUCCGAGACAUAAUAGACCAUAAGAUCUACACUAAUUUGGUAUAAUUUCUUAUUAAAUAAACUAUAUUGUUUUCGACUUCAAAAAUAGUUAAUGAAAUGAAAUAACUUAAUGUUUUUGCAGCUAGUAGAUGUAUUUUUCGGAGUGAUUCACGUUGAACUAAUUGAAAAAUUAAUACUUACGGAUAAAUUUCAGUUCAUUUGUUCAGAUAUGUUUAGCGAUGACAAUGGACAUGAACAUACUCAAUCAGUACCUGAAAAUGUUUCGUCAUAUGACGUUGGUUCUAUUCUUCGUUUGAUCACUCGGAGGACUAGAGGCAAUGAUAAGCGGAAUUGGAAGUUUUUCAUCAUUCCCAUUCGUACUGUAAGUCAUUGGCACUUUCUAAUUUGGUCAAGGGUUCGAAACACCUAUACGCAUUAUGAUUCGAAUCACAUUGGACGUGAAUCCUUAAAUCUUGGAGCAGCUAAACGAGUGGUAUUUUUUGAAAUUUGUUUAUCCUACUUGCGCAGAUUGGUUAAUUAAUUGUCUUUUAUAUUUUCCGUAGAUGAAAUGGAUGUCCUUUGGUUCAAGCAAAAUCUUCUUUCUGUUUAUCAUGACGAGUCUAUUUUAAAUCAAUGUCAAACCUUUCCUCAAGAGAGUAAUCCGAUGUUAGAUGGUGGUUUGUACAUGUUACAUGGAAUCAGUUGUUUUAUUGAUUACAUGCAUAUUGAAGAUAGUAUUUUUAAUGAUUGUUCUCUGAAAUCUAAGAUGACAUGGAAGAAAUCUGAUGUACCUAAAAUUCGGAAUGUCAUGUUCCGGAGGAUCGCAGAGAGGGUAGAAUUUACGCCAUGGCACACAAAACUAGCAAACCAUAUAUCCAAUUCUCAAAAUUCAUGAGUUGAUUUCGCUAAAGAAUCAUAGUCUUGGCUGUUAAUCUUUGUAUCGUAGUAUUAUGUAAUAUUUUAUGUAUUGAUGAUAUUACUGAUUUACUAUUGUUAAUAUGUCUGAAUACAUUCCGUUUCAAUUGGGUAUAUAGGAUGUUUUGAAAAUACUGAAUGAAUGUAUUAGCGAUCUUGUUACAAUUGGAAAUAUGAAAUUCUGAAGUUGUAUCCCAAUUUCUAUGUCAUGUAAUAAUAUAAUUUCUUGUAUUAACGUUCGCUCUAUGUUCAGAAGUUCUCAAAGAAUGUUGAAAUGUAGUUUUCGAUUAAUUAUGAAGUCACUUAGGCAUAUUGGAGAAUACAACCACCUGACUAACCUAAAAUGAUAAAUACAUAUUUAUGAACAUAUAGAAAUGAAAACUAGAAAAAAAUUAUAACCCUAACCAUAAUUCAAACCCUAACCAUGUGGUGUUUUUUCCAAUAAAUUUUGAUAGAAUUGGCAUCGAGAUUUUCCAAACCCUAACCGUGUUAGCCUAAUAAUUGUUGUUUAAUCUGGAACAAUAUUGGACAUCAUCUUCAACUCACUAGCUCUUCCCAACUUCAUUGAUCUAUGAUUUUCUUGCAGCCCAGAGUGACACCUCACUAGCUUCAUUUCAUGUUGAUCUAUGAAUUUCAUUCCCAACUCACUACGUUUAGUUCUCAACAAAUGUUAAAAUACUUGAAUGAUAAAGUUUUUUAGCGGUACUGCAUUCUGAGUUCAUGUCCUUGUAGAAAUAUAGAUGUCAAUCAACAAUAUUCGAAAAUGAAACAAAUUAACUGAUAACAUAUUUACAUUAAACAACAAUGUAUUCAGUUACACACAACAACGACGACAAAAUAGAAGAACUAGAAAUAACUUAAAACCAAUGUCUUGUUUGUAGAUAUAAAUUUUGUAAGGGUCGAGACCAAGAUUGAGCCAGGUUAGCUUAAUAACUGGUGUUUUAUCUGGAACCAUAUCGAACUCGCAAGCGUCACCUACCUCGAGGUCAUGUUGGCAAACGAAUUCCUUCCAACCGACGCAUAGUCAGUAACCUGUAUGGUGGUAUGAUUUGAAUGUAUUAAUUUUUGACACAAUCAGUUGAUCCAGAUUAGCCAUGAUAUAUAUUGGAUCUCCGGCCUUCAGUAUCAGUUCUGGCUUCAAACACUUCGGUAUGGUCUGCGUUUUGUAAAUCAAAUUAUGAGUCUAUAAAUAAAUUUACGUAUAAGUCUGAAUGAAUUUAUACGAAUAUUUAUCAGAUACGGAUUUUUCCCAAGGACAUUUGACUUUGAUAACCUUGUUGACCACUCCAUCUUUGGUAACGUUCUAUGUUCCUCUGUACUAACUUCUGCUUGGUUUACAUUUACGUCCUUAGUUUCAUCUUCAUCUUCGUUUUCCUCUUCUGGGUCGUAUGUUGAUUCUGACACCUCCCUUUCUGGUUUUAUCGACUCCCUCACCUGCAUGAAAUGCGUCGGAAGCCUGAUUUUGUGUUUCCUUUUGAAUCCCUCGAUGAACGAGGCCGGUACUCCAUCCCUAAUAACAAUUACUAUGAUCGAUUUCCUCGGGCUAGGAUAGUAAAUGAACUCAAGUACGUUGUCCUUCUGAAGUCUUUCCUUUGAUACAAAUAUCCUUCAAUCUUUACUGACACAUGUAUGGGAAACACCCAACAUGGUCUACUUUCACAACAUAACUUUUCCUUGACAUUGGUUCGUAUAGUUCGAUAUCGUAAUUGUCAUUGAGUCCAGUGGCCUUCAGGAACCUCGCAGGAAUAGGCUAAAGACAUAUAGGGAGGAAAACAAUAUUAGAUUAUCAGAAAACUUAACAAUAUUAGGAAAAAUAGGAAAAACAUGACAUAAAUAACAGAAGAAGAAAAACCAAUCGUAAUAGAGGUUAAUUCAUCUGGUCAAGAUGAGUAAGCCAAUUUGAAAAACAUUAGCAAGUAAAUAAGCUAUUCAUGUAGUACUAUAUUCAACGUAAGGAAAAAAAAUUCAUGUCCAUGAUGGUAAUAAUUUUUUCAGAUUAGUAGGAGAAAUGUAAUCAGGGUCUUCUUAACUAGAAACAUUCAGAACAUUAGACAAAUCCAUACAUUCUUACAUGUGCGGGAAAAAAAAAUGUAGAGAUAGGGUGACAUAUAUGCAAAACAUUCAGACAACGUAAGUGGAGACAAAUGCUAAGAAAAUAAUUAUUUCACAUCAGAUGGAGAAAUAAAAUAGAUAUGAAAUGCAAUGACAUCUAUAGAAUAUCAGUUGGAAAAAUGCAUCUGAGAAAGUUCAAAAUAUGCCGAUUCAUUCUAUCACGACAAAAAGGGAAAUAAAUCAUAUUAGAAUCUCAGAAAACUUAAAAAUAAACAGAAGAUUGUAAAAUAAUGAUGGUGAGGACCGGUACCCUGGCCAAUUUGGGAAAAAACUGCUAAUGAUUGAAGUAAAUGAAUACCUCUGGCCUCGGAUAUUGUGGUCAUAACAAGAGGGAAAAAAACCAAUCGGAAAAAGAUUACUAAAUCUACUGAAGAUUAAUAAGGAAAUUUGAAAAACAUUAGUAAAGUGAAUAUGCUAGUCAUGGAGACGUUUUUAGAACUAAGGGGAAAAAAAUAUCAUGCCGAUGAUGGUCGUAUUUUUCCCAGAUCAGUAGUAGAAGUAUGUAGAACAUCAGAUCAUAAUAACUAUAAAAAAUGUAUGGAACAUUGAAAGGGAAAAAACAAACACAUGCUAAAAAAACAAACCAAUGACAACAGGAAACAAAUAUUUUCUUUAAUAAAAAUUACAUGUUCAAAAAUAUAUGGUAGAAGGGUUCCAUCUGUGAUCUGUAAAUAGAUGUUCAAAAAUAGAUGUUCAAAUAAGAUGACUACUAUGACAUGAAAAGGAUGAAUAUGGUGAGUGAUGAAGUACGAGAUCAGCUACCAGUAGGCUCGCAGGGUUGCGAGGAGGGCCGGAGGUUUUGGAGUCCACGACGUACGCUCUACAUCAAAUACCUGCAGAAGUGGAGGGGAAUCGGCGACUCACGUGGGAGUCGGCGACUCGGGCUCCUUGGUUGCUCUAGUGUAUAGUGUAGUCAAGUGGGAAUGACUUGGGAGUGGAGGACCCCCAAAGACCCCUUUUAUAGGGUCCUGGGGGUGUUUCCCCAUUCAUUAGCGUGGGGCCCACUCCAUUAUGGUGCCCAAUUAAGGGUGUCAUAAUGACGUGGGCCCUCCCAAGUAACGGCUGGGUAUCGACGACUCAGGUAUGGGAGUCGCCGAUUCAGAGGUGGAGUCGCCGAUUCCAGGGGUGAAUCGCCGACUCCAGACAUGGCACUCGGGUCUGGUAGACCGAGGACCUGACCACAAGGGAUUCACCCCUGGAAUCGGCGACUUAGUAAUCCCAGUCGGUGAUUCUCAGGUGUUGCCUUGAAUACUUAACGUAGACACUUGCUCCACACCGUGGAUGCCUUCCGGGGGUCCGGCGUAAAACGACGGAACCCUAGUCCUUGUUGAGGGGCGUUGCUGGAAGUGACCGACGUAAUCAGGCAUGUCUCACCAGUGAAAAUAUUUGAUGUAAAAAAAUGUGGAUGAAGACUUGAUAUUAGACAUUUGGGUGAAGGAAAUAGUCAUAGAAGAAGGUGAUAUGAAUGAAAAUAUGCAGAGCAACCAAAAAAAAAAAUGUCGAACAGACCAUGGUCCAUCCGUUGUCGUUGAAACGGGUGACAAACUCCUCCGGUUUCUCUCCGGGUGUUGGUGUACUUAAACCGCCGGUGGUCGGAUUUGAGGCCAUUUUCACACUCGCUUGGGAGAUGAGCGGAAGAACUAGGGUUUUUGGGGGCGGAUGUCAUUUAAUCAAAGGGGUUACAAAGGGUUUUUAUAAUGUUUGAAUGGGUUCUAUCAAUCAAUGAACAGGUGCUAUGAAUCAUUUAUUUCAAUGGCCGGUUAUUAUCAGAACACACAGAUGUCUAAUUUGACAAAAAAAAAAUUGGUAUACGAUGAUAGACAUCGCUUGAAGUUUUAUAAAAAUUAUACCUGUCGAUGACCUUCUUGUUGCCAAGUAUUGCUGGUAAUUCGCUAGAGACUAACCCAAUAGCAUCCAUCUUGGUAUUUUCUCUCGGACUGAUGUCUCUCUCCCCCUAUUACAUUUGUUAUACGAAAAGAGAAGAUAUGGGAAAUUCUAUGAUACGCUGUGGUUGCAAAUGACAUAUUAACCUGGGUAAUAUAGCUAAAAAAUAAUAAUAAUUCAAUUUCGAAAUAAAUAGAGUGACAUUCAGAGUUUGAUAUUCAUAUUUGACAAUCUAUCCAUUAAUUGAGUCUGAUAGUCAUUCUGAAAUAUAAAAAUUUCCACUGAUAGGUAAUACCAUCCUAGAAAAUCCUGAUAUUACAAUUCUGCUAAUGCAUUUGUCAUGGAAUCUUGUGCAAGGGAGACUACGAAUGGUAGUCCUUUGCACAAGUUCUAGCUGUGUGGCCUGGUUCAUGACAAUUUUUACAUGUUCGCUUCGAUUUAACCACCAAUUCCCUCGUCGAUUUGAAUCGGGGAUCCGCUUUACUUGGUCUGCCAGUGUUUUUGCCGCUACCCUUGGUUUUUGCCUUUUUAGGGUUUCCGACUAUUGGUUGUGUUGUUAUCCGAUCUUCGAACCAUUUGAUAGAUGUUCUGCUCGCAGAAAUUUUGGUAAUCUUAUUCCUCGUCUCAUAUUCGUUUAGAAAUCUCUGUAAUUCUUCGAUAAGGGGCUCGUUGACAUCUUCACUAUUAGUAAUUAUUUCUGCACAUCUAUUGAACAUCUGGUUUAGUUCGUUUGGUCGAGGGCAUAGAAUUUCUUCAUUACAUGUUGUCGAAUUCUUUGGAGUCUUUUUCCAUCUACUCAUAAUAAGUGCUUCUAGUAGUGUUGUAAUUCCAUUCGAUAUUAGGUAGUUUAUAAUAUAGCGACAUGGUAUUCCUUUGCUAGAGAACAGGCCGUAGGUACACAUCGAUGGAGCACUUAUAGAUGGACAGGUUAUUUUGGCACUUUGAAUUUGUGUGAACAUUCCUAUCACCGAAUAUUCAUUUUCGACCUGUAUGUAGUUUGUAAUCAAUAUGAAAGAUCAGAAACAUUCGUCUAUGUAACGGAAAAAUAAGUUAAAAAGGUUUACCAAUGAGUUUUUCUGAAUAUAAUAAGACAUGUUCUUCUGCACUUGUUGCUGGUAUAGUAGAAAUACUUCUGAUGUAUAUAUGCAAUGCAAACUUGAUUCUAUUGAUAAACGAGUAAUAAUCAGAGGAGGUGCGUCACAAUUUCUGUGGUCCAAUUUUUCCGAUCUUUCCCUUUGUGCAUUUAGUACUAACUCUAAUAAACAGACGAAUUCGAAUAAUGUAGAAAAGCGCUUCACAUUCAUCUUAGCUAGCGCAUUCAUACCUUUGCUUCGCUGAGUGUUCUGCAUCCCACCGAAGAAAUGGUUCUGCAUGUAAAUCGGACACCAUUUCGACCUUAUGGUAAACAUGCCGUUCAACCAUUUGUUUUUUUGUAAAUUGUUAUCCAAUGUCCAUUGAGCCCAGUUACUCUCAAAUUCUUCUAUUGUCUCCGAAGUGUUUAAUAUUUUGUUGAAUCUCUCCAUUUCCUCUUUCUUCCUAUAUACUUGUCCUACUUUGUCGGACAUUUUGUGUGUUAUGUGCUAUUUGCAAAGACGGUGAAAUGUAAGUGGAAAUUCACUAGAUAAUGCUACCUUCAUAGUUGCAUCUUGAUCAAUAAUAAUCGUACGAGGAUAACAAACCAUGCAUCUCUUGAACUCGGAGAAUAGCCAGAUGAAUGAUUCCGCUGACUCGUUGGCGAUGAAGCCUGUUGCAAAUAGUACGGUUCUUAAAUGGUUAUUAACCCCGCAGAAAAAACCUAUGAUAAGCUUGUACUUGUUUGUGUUGUAUGUCGUAUCGAAUGCGAUUGCUUCCCCAUAUUUUUGGUAGUCAGAAAUGCAUGUUGAGUCUGCCCAGAAUAAUUGUUUAAGGCCACCUAUUAUAAAGCGAUCUGUUAGGAUUUCAUUGUAAAUUCGGUUUAAUGUAUGAAGUAUUUAAGUAGGAAAUACUUUCGUCGUCUAGUUUGUAUGAGUAGUAGUAGUUCUUGUCCUUUUUCUUUAUGUUUUCUAAAUUCUGAAGUAGAAUGUCCACGUCAUGACUAUUCAAGUUUUCCAUGUCGUCUCUUCGAUGAUUGUUGAAGUCAAUCAUAGUGAAUGAAAAAUUAGAAAAACCACCUGAUUGCAUCGCUACGUAUGAGUAUUGCUGACUUGGGGGGAUGUUUGUAGCAUCUAAAUUGUAUAUUAAAUUCCUUGCGUAUGGUGUUAUCUUUUGAUUAAUCUUUAGGUACCUAUUCUUCCUAGGUGUUGACAAAUCAUGGUUGUGAUUCUCCUUCAAGAUUGAUAUCAUCCAUUGAUCUCCUACAAUCUUGAGAGACAUUGGCGCCUUGCAACCAGUUCUAGUAUUUCUGAUGUGUCCUAGCUUCGUUGAUUUCUCUAAAGGAUUUUGUAUUUUAGGAACGACUGCUUUAGAAAUCGCCUCCUUCGAGCAUACGUAUGUUUUCUUCCUUAGUCCUUGUUUAGAAUGUCUUGUUGAUCCUUUUCUGACUGAAAAACCCUUACUUCCGGCAUAUUUGUAGUACAAUUCCUCUGCUUCCUUUAUAGAAUCGAACAUCAUCCCGAUUUUUGGUUCUUGUGUUUGACUGCAAACAUAUUCUUAAGAGACACAUAAGGUCUUGAAAAUACAAUAAUGAUUUUUAUUUUCGUUGUUUAAACUAUAUGACCAGUUACCUUGGUGAUUCAAAAUCCUGGCCUAGUUCAUCAAUAUCUGGAAAACUGCAACGACAUUAUUAAAAUGAUUAUUCAUUCUAUGGUUUUUCGGUAAAUCUAAUGUUAAUAAGUGAGAGGAAACAUUGAUAACAUUAUGAGGACAAACCUGAAUGUCGAUUGAAGGCAAUGGUUAACUUCCUCACCCAGAAUUGUAUUACUAUCGCCUAAAUCUGUUGUGCCAAAAUAAAAUAUAUUUAGCAAAUGCAUAACAAGAAUACCUAUUGAAUUUUCAAGAAAUCAUACCAGCGGUGGUGUCCUGUGCCGAAGUUACGUUUACCUAUCAAGAUACCAGGAAAUGACAUAAGAAAGUGAGUGAAAUUCGGAAGAAGGAUUAAAGUAUUAGUUCGAAUUGUACCUCUGAUAUACCACUGUCCAUUUCGUUCCUCUGACUGUCAAUCGUUAAUUCAAUUACUUAAUCUUUUUUCUGAAAUUUUCAGUUAGAAAAUUUAAUCAUAUAAUAAUUUAUCGAUGCUAUAUGAAUAGGAUUUUCAGAUAUCUGUAAAAAAAUUCCCAGGUAUAAAAUGGAUUUCAUUACAAUAUCCUAAACAAUCAAAGAUUAUUAUGAAACAGGCAAUUUACCAAUAAAUUUAGUCAUUUUUCAAAAUAUAAGUUCACGGACUUUUCCACUCAUUGAAGACAUGUAGUAGUGCUCCAAUUAUUCUACAACUAUUUACCAUGUCAGUUCAAAAUUCACAAUUAAAUGGGUUUGAUGUUUAACAAUCUGUUUCAAUUUAAUGAACAGAUUGUAAACUUCAGUUCAUCUAUUAUUUGUUGUUCUUAAUUAAGGACAUCUGGGCCGACUAUUACUUUGUUGUGGUUACCAUGCUCCAGAAUCACAAAAAUCAUGUAAUGUUUGAGAAUUUCCACCAAAACAAAUUAAGAUUUCAUUCAUUUUCAUUGAAAACAGGCAUACGAUAACUUCAUAGUCUAUAAGUUGGAUUACAUUUGAUUUACUACAGCAACCCGCCUUCAACCAAAUCAUACAAAAGUUGUUAACCACUAACCCAAACAUUUUCAUUCAUUCAAUGAAACUACUCCCUAUGUGGUGGAGUAUUGAAGGACUUGCGCCACCAAUCAAUCCAUUCAUCGGUGUGUUCAAUUACAUGGCUAUCUAAUACCCUGUAAGACUCCUCCACAGAAUCCUCAUCGUCCGACACAGGUUCAGGUGCUAUCGGCAUCAAUGGCAUGAAGUUUGGAUGAUGCAUAGGUAUAUCCUGAAGACACCAUGCACAUUGAUUAAGUGAGGGGAAUCCAGUUUUCUGUGAGGUUGUGACAGGCGAUAUAGGGACAACUGAAUAGGUUCUUUAAAUAAGGGGUGCUAAAUUGGUGCAUUAUUCAUUGACAUUGGUGAAUAUGGAUCAAGACGUCUAGGCAUUAUAGGGUCUGGGUUUCCUCCUGAUGAUUGACCUCUUUGGAUAGAAUUUUUCCUCUUAAAAGGCCAGCUUCCACGCAUUUCAGAUACACCUUGUUCUGAGGAUUUUCUCGUUGGAAUAUGCUUCGAGGUAGUGUUUUUAGGGAGAUGACAGUCAGCUACAGUCCCAUCUUCAGAGUCGUCGUCACUAAUGACGAUUAUUUCCUUCAUCUUCCUCCGAGUCCUUGGAACAUGAUUUGUUUCGUCCGCGCCUCUUUUCCUAGAACUCAUUUGAAGACUGAAAACUUCCUAAUCAAUAUUUGUAUACUGUAUGGAUUUUGAAUAACAGACCAUGGAAAAAAAUCAGGAAUAAAUGAGACAAAUGUGAAGCAGAGGAAUACAUUGGACAAAAUCAGGAUUCAUGUGAUUUCAUUCAUGGAGAUCAAAUGCUCGAGAAAUCAAAACAAUUUUAUGGGUACAGGCUAUCAACUAAGUUAGAGAUGUGAAAAAACCUUCCGAUGACGAAGAUAUCUGCUCGUUUGUAGUCGGAUGAGGAGAUGAGAUGAGAUAAGGAGCGUUUAUAUAGGAUAAAUCGUAAUCAUUAUCCCUAGAUGCCUGGUCGUCGACCGUCGUAUUUUGUUUUCAGGUAACUUGGUAGGUAUGGCGUGGGUUACCAAAAUCGAUAUGUGAAUCGCGCACAGUAGAUGUAGAGAUAGCAGAGAGUCGUGAUGACCAAAUGGUUGAAGGGCAGUUAUAGGAAUGGGGGCGGAUGUCCGACGGUGACCUGUGGUCACUCGGGCAGUGGCUGUAGAGGUAGGAGCUCAUCGAGAAGGACGGUUACAGGAAUAGAAGUAUGGUCGACAGAUUAUCCGGAAGAACAGUUACAGGAACUAGGUGGGUGUCGGCGAUCGGUAGUCACUGUACAAUGUCGCGUCUACGAGUACUACCCUCGCAGGCGAUCAUACCUCUACAGUUCGUAGGCGUGUGGAUUCACGCCUUUUAUUCAAUAGUUUGACUACAAAAGGUAAGUUGUUUGUCUCGCCCGCAGAACCGUCGAUCGCCUUAUCGACGACGUGGAUGGACAGUACCGUGCGGAAUCCGGUGAGGUGAUAUUUUUUGUAUUAAUAUAUUAUUCAAUAUAUAUUAAAAUAUUUAUAUUUAAACCCUAAUUUACUAAAAUAUUUAUAUUUAUCUAACAUUUAAAAUAGCCGGGUCCAGACCCGGACCUGACCCUCCGGGUCCAAACCCUUUAGCAGGUCUAAAAUCAGUCUCAGACCCGAGCCCGGACCCGUUGAUAGCCUUAUUCAGAUUUUAAAAUGAUUAAUUAACUAUUAAUUAACUUUAUUAAAAAUGAUUUUAUACUUUUAUAAUUUUAUUUUAAUUUUUUUUUAUAAAAAGUUAUCCAUAUUAUUUGAAUGGAUUCAGAUUAUGUAGAUAUUAUCCAGAUUCGGAUACCAAAGUAUCCGAGUUGAAUCUAUCCGACACGCAUGCCUACAUGUAUGUCCAUGGUUGGGAGUCAUUUUAUCCGGAUCCACCAUAGCCCAUAGGAGGUUAAAGUUCUUUUUAUAUAAACGUAUAAGUACAUGAUAUAUAAUUAAAUAUAAAUUAAAAUACAUACACUAAGACUCGAAUUUUAAACCUCUAACAAUUUAUCUACGUGACUGUUGUCAACUGAGUUAAUGACCAGGUAUCUUCGUCUCUACUUGUCCCGGAUCCGGUUCAUAUAUAUGGACAAGGAUAUUUUUACGACCAGAUGAAUUCUGAAUUUGGGAAAAAUGGAUCAUCACCUAAAGAGACAUCUACUGGUAUGUAUAAUUUAAUCCACCAACCAGUCUAUCAACACAAAUAUUUCAAAUGUGAUAGCUUUUUUAUUUAUUGUUUUUUCCAUCAAUCAGUCUUUUUACCGGUAUUUUUCUGAGCAAUAUUCAUCAUGAGUCAAAAAUGAAAACACUACAAAAAAAACCCCUUUAACAGGUUACCACACAGUCAAUGAAAAAGGAUGAGAGACACUGGGAAUAAGGGAUUUCAGAGCCUUAGAAGUUAGAUGAGACGACCCCGUCGUUGAAGGAAGCAAUUAAUCACGUCACGUCGCGGGAGAAUCAGCAUGGACUAUGUGGAUGAAUGCCAAAUAUACCAAAGGGAAGGGGAAUUAAUCAAAUCCAAAAUAGGAUUAGUGAUUCAUUUAGACGGAGAAGCAUUCUGUCGGUGAAGAAUAAAAUUGAGUAGUGCGCAAAUCUGAAAUCAAAUGGAGAUUGAGAAUGGAAGGGAGAAGACGGAGAUCGUCUUGUCUUUCGAAGUUGUGCUAAAUAAAUCUGAUUAUUCGUUCUGUUUUAUUAAAUGUUGAUCAAAUAAAUAUUAUCGAAUGUGUAAGACGUAGUUUAAUACAUAGGUAAGGUAAGUGACAAUAAAAGAGUUGUUGGAUUAAGCAACGACGGACGGAAUCGAUUCGACGUAAGAUAAUCUAGUUACAUUUAUAUACAACACAGUAAAAAUUAAAGGAGAAAAAGAUGAAUAUGCAUUUGUAUCAAUUUUUAGUAAACAUUUUUUUAUUGAUGUUCUUUAUCUCUACUAUCUAUUUUUGUUGAAAUAUGCAAAAUGUUAGCAUAGAGAUAUCAAAUAAAAUGCUUAUUAAAAGUUGAUGCUUGAUACUAUCAUACUAUAUAAGUUAUAAAUAAGAAUAUUAAAGGAAAAUUGUCAAAUGUACUCAUCUAAAGUUGUUUUGAAAUUAAAAAUAACCAUCUAUAUUUUUUUUGACCAUUUUAUCCUUACAAUUAAUUUAAAUUUUCAAAGAUGUGUCAUUGAUUAAAAAAAUAACGGGUAGAUAUUUUGGGGGAGAAAAACUACCCAUCGUCCUCCCCCUCCCUCCUCCAACCUUUGGUCGUUCAAUCCCAAUGCAUCCCUAUCCGCAUCGAAUCUUUUCCCAAAUCUGUCAUCCUAACCACUUUCUCUGGACGUCACUAAUCCGUGGCUAGUCCCUCCUCCACUGCCAUCAUACAACGACUUUCUCAUUUUAUUCCCAAAUGAAACUUCACCUCCAUCCUUCAUCCUCCACACCUCCGCUUAACUUCAGCAUCAACUUUAUCUUCUCUACUCUGCUCAAACUUACGACCACCAUCUGUUCUCUCUCCGCUGGAUCCCAACUGCACGGUCAAAUGAUUUUCACUGGUGGGUGUGAUUCCAAUGUUUUUGUUAAUGAUACUUUGAUUGAUAUGUAUGUAAGUUGUUCUCAAUUGCAUUGUGCACGGAAGGUGUUUGACGAAAUGGUUGAUAGAGAUGUAGUGAGUUUGACAAUCAUGAUUGUUGGAUAUUGUAGAGUGGGAGAGAUGGCUAUGGCAGAGGAGUUAUUUCAUAAGAUUCCCGUGAAGGCUCAUCGUAACGGGUCAAACCAACGGGUAUUAACUAAUGAGGGAUAUAUUAGAAAAAUUUAUUUCCUAACAACCCUUAACCACCUAAGACUUAGACUUGGUGGUUAAUUUUGACCACCAAUCCAUCUUAGGUGGGUACUUUUGACAUUCACCCAAUAUUAAAUAUUCAAACCCUUCCAAAUCUUCACAGCUCCCACCUCUCCAAUCUCUUCAUCCCGAAACAAGGUCCGUAAUUCAUAUGCAUGUCGAAUUCCGUCAACAAAAGCUCCCAUUCGCACUCUUCUGUUUCGAUCCAUUCCAAAAAAAUAAAAUUCAGAACAAAAGAACAUUUUGAUUUUGAUUUGCUACUACUACCUUUGGCGCCGGCGGCAGUUGUUUGCUUUUCCGAUAGAUGCGUCUUUUUCUUGGCCGAGGAUUCCGAUUUCGUAAAGCCGAGAUCUUUUCUGUUGGAUUUUACUUACCGGUAGAAAUCCUGGACGUUGUUGGACG